Mauremys reevesii (Reeves's turtle) is the source of this 1131-nucleotide long non-coding RNA. RefSeq lists it as uncharacterized. The record is from RefSeq and is a predicted model, not a curated record. Lineage: Eukaryota; Metazoa; Chordata; Testudines; Geoemydidae. The transcript is spliced from 3 exons.
AGUUUGGAAAGGAGAAUGCAGCACUGCUGGCUAUGGAGCCUAUGGACUAAAGUGGGGGAGAGACAAGAGCAGUGCUGUGACGCUCAGGUGGACCCCGCUAGAACCAUGGUGCAGUUGGAAUCUCUUAAUCACAGGGAAGCUGCAGUUGUGAAUCUAGGGACCUAGAUAGGAGGAGACUUGGGGGGAAAAGACUCUCCAGAGAAAUCAAAAGCCACAGUAGAGCUGACGGAGCUCCCUGGCUCUGAGGUUACUGGAAGUGGAACCAGGAACCCGAAGCUCUGGAUUGAGGGUGAAAUUGGAAACCCCAAGAGGGAAGGGUUUGGGCCUGAAAGGGCUGAAGUAGACUGUAUUUCUUAAAGACAUAAUACACUGGACACUGGGAAGGGGAACUUAGUUGAAGUACUCUGUGCUGCUAGCAUGUUAUUGGGAGAUCCAGGUGGGAAUGGAUAGCGGGGUGCCAGCAAGGACAUGCUUUACUAUGCAGUGGUGUACUCUGGGGUGGGACUCUGCCCUAGAGCCCUUCAUGCCUGUAUUCUCCCCUAUGGGCUGCACUGCGUCUUCCAUGAUCCACUGUGGUGACUCCCUGUGGCUGAGGUGCUGCAUUCCCAAACUCCCAGGGAUGCCUUUCCAAUUGCACAUGGCAUUUCUUUGCUCAGUUAAUUUUUUCAAAGGGAAUUCUAGAGCUGGAUUGGAUGCAGAUGGAACAAGUGUAAUUACCUUCUGCAUUGCCCCAGGCUGCAAAUGUUCCUUCUCAUGGGCCAUUUAAGACCACAGCUACUUCAGCUGAAAUCCUGGAGAUGCUGCUUUGUCCUGUUGGUGCACUGGGAAGUCCCCAAAGUCAUCACCCAGAGAUUCCAGGGGAUUUGUGUCUGAAUAAGCUUCCUAAGAAGAAGAAAAAUGGGUCUCUCCUAAACCAGAUGCUGAGGAUAAAAUGCAGGAGGCUCAUCUGUCUAUGUACGCAGGCAAAGGAUGGACAGUAGCACAAUGUCCAGAAAAAGAGCAGUCGGAGAACGUCUCCACAACAGGGCACCCCAGUGCUGAUGAAGGUGCAUCCGGCCACAUCUCCACCCAGUGAUACAGGGAAAAAGAAGUACACCCAGCAUCCGUUCCUUGCCAACCUGGCAGAGAAGC